CCGCUGCCUGCCCAGCCCCUGGCAUGCAGCGCUCCUGCUUGCCCCGCUGGCAGCGCAGCCGUCCCGCAGCCCCCGGCCCCACGGCCAUGGCGCUCCAUCGCCAAGACGGCCCGGCGGGCUCUGCGCCGGCUCUUCUCCUUCAGCUGCCUCAGGGGACAGCGAGAGGAUUGAGCCCAGAGCCAGAAGCAGAAUGAUGCCAAAUGAUGCCAGCUCCAAAGGGCAGGUCCAGGAGGCAGUGACACCAAUGGGAGACAAACACUGGGUACACCCCAAUGGAUGGAUGCAUGGUGCUCAAGGCAACUAAUUGCCAAAGCUCCACAAGAACCACUGGAGCCCCCAGCGCGGAAGUGCACAGUGGCUAAGGACCAACAGGAUGCCACUAGAGCCGAGUAUCUUGGACAGUCCACUGUGUGACCUCUUCUCCACAUUACUCCCACUCUUUCCUAGUCCUCCUCAUUUCUGCUCUUCCCCACUGCAGCCUAGCCCAGCCCAACCCAUCCCUGAUAUUCUCCCUCUUUACUUCUCACUCUCUCCUUUCCCAUCCCUACCUCUCUACCCCACAUUUCUUGUUAAAUAAAAUCCCCAUUGUUAACUUU
Molecule: non-coding RNA, 596 nt
Organism: Cyanistes caeruleus (blue tit)
Lineage: Eukaryota; Metazoa; Chordata; Aves; Passeriformes; Paridae
Source: RefSeq, a predicted model, not a curated record